Molecule: ribosomal RNA, 253 nt
Filed under: uncultured bacterium
Lineage: Bacteria
Description: partial 16S ribosomal RNA
Rfam family: Bacterial small subunit ribosomal RNA
Source: RNAcentral
UACGUAGGGUCCGAGCGUUGUCCGGAGUUACUGGGCGUAAAGCGCGCGCAGGCGGCGGUGCUGGCCCGGCGUGAAAGCCCCCGGCUCAACCGGGGAGGGUCGUCGGGGACCGCACCGCUUGAGGGCGGUAGGGGCUGGUGGAAUGCCUGGUGUAGUGGUGAAAUGCGUAGAGAUCAGGCGGAACACCCGUGGCGAAGGCGGCCAGCUGGGCCGUCCCUGACGCUGAGGCGCGAAGGUGUGGGGAGCAAACAGG